GAUGAAGAACGCAGUGAAAUGCGAUAAGUAGUGUGAAUUGCAGAAUUCAGUGAAUCAUCGAAUCUUUGAACGCACAUUGCGCCCCUUGGUAUCCCGAGGGGCAUGCCUGUUCGAGCGUCAUUUCACCACUCAAGCCUGUCUUGGUGUUGGGCGACGUCCUCUUUGGGGACGCGCCUCGAAACGCUCGGCGGCGUGGCACCGGCUUUAAGCGUAGCAGAAUCUUUCGCUUUGGAAGUCGGGGCCCCGUCUGCCGGAAGACCUGCUCGCAAGGUUGACCUCGGAUCAGGCAGGGAUACCCGCUGAACUUAAGCAUAUCAAUAAGCGGAGGA
This 329-nucleotide unclassified non-coding RNA is filed under the name soil metagenome. Its description in RNAcentral is "partial contains 5.8S ribosomal RNA, internal transcribed spacer 2, and large subunit ribosomal RNA". The stretch from base 1 to 120 matches the Rfam family "5.8S ribosomal RNA", at positions 35 to 154 of the family's 154-position model. The record is from RNAcentral.